RNAcentral lists this ribosomal RNA (251 nucleotides) under uncultured bacterium. Its description in RNAcentral is "partial 16S ribosomal RNA". It matches the Rfam family "Bacterial small subunit ribosomal RNA", at positions 528 to 779 of the family's 1533-position model. The record is from RNAcentral.
CGGAGGGCUAGCGUUGUUCGGAAUUACUGGGCGUAAAGGGCGUGUAGGCGGCGGAUCAAGUCAGGCGUGAAAGCCCCGGGCUCAACCUGGGAUGUGCGCUUGAUACUGAUUUGCUAGAGUCCGGGAGAGGCGAGUGGAAUAUCCAGUGUAGAGGUGAAAUUCGUAGAUAUUGGAUGGAACACCAGUGGCGAAGGCGGCUCGCUGGACCGGAACUGACGCUGAGGCGCGAAAGCGUGGGAGCAAACAGGAUU